RNAcentral lists this ribosomal RNA (253 nucleotides) under uncultured bacterium. RNAcentral describes it as "partial 16S ribosomal RNA". It matches the Rfam family "Bacterial small subunit ribosomal RNA", at positions 524 to 776 of the family's 1533-position model. The record is from RNAcentral.
UACGGAGGGAGCUAGCGUUGUUCGGAAUUACUGGGCGUAAAGCGCACGUAGGCGGCUUUGUAAGUUAGAGGUGAAAGCCCGGGGCUCAACCCCGGAAUUGCCUUUAAGACUGCAUCGCUUGAAUCCGGGAGAGGUGAGUGGAAUUCCGAGUGUAGAGGUGAAAUUCGUAGAUAUUCGGAAGAACACCAGUGGCGAAGGCGGCUCACUGGACCGGUAUUGACGCUGAGGUGCGAAAGCUUGGGGAGCAAACAGG